GCCUAUAUCCAACUACUAAAACAACGACCUUAUCUGUGACAACAGUAACAGCUAGGCAACUUCGGUGCUGGACACGGUUUUCUGUAGAAAUCCUGAAAUAUACAGAGUGUAUUACCAUAUGCUUGCUUCUUUGAGUAUGUGCCUGAAACAAGAAUGUCCUGGAGAAAACGGACCACAACAAGAAAAGAGAUGGAGAGGAAGGGCUUGCUGUUGAGAGAUCAUGGGGUGCCUUGAGGUUCCACUUCCAGUCUUGAUGUUCUGCCCCUUACCUCUAAGCGAUGGCCUCUUGUGCCUGGCAAUAUAUGAGCGAAGCACAAUGGACUGGUGCUGGUGGAGCUGCAUGUAUCUUUUACUCAUCAAUGGUAGUUUUAAAAUCUUCCUCUGUAUUGUGAAAGCAGAAACAUGAUGUAGAGUGGAAGAAAAAAAGUAUGUAACACAGUAUCAUUUAAAAUAGAUUUUAUAAAGUAAAAACACACUGGCCUGCAGUUUGUGAAACAUGUAGCACUGUAUUACCAAUUAAAAGAAUUCAGCGAUUUUUACAACGUGCUCUAUUGGCAUUUAUGUACUGGUUAUGUUGUAACACAAAAUGAAUUCUUAACUUUAAUCCUGGAUCCAUUGCUAAACAUAAUGUCAACCCUAAAUGUAUUAAACAUUGCCAGACCCAAUUUCGGGCUACCCUAAAUCCCUUUCUACAUACCAGUAUUGUUCAAAGUUUAUAUUUAUUACACCCUUACUGCGAGUUCUAGAAAUUCUGCAAGAACCCUACCCUGCUGUUCACUUUAUAAUUAGUACUUCACAUUGCUUUCAUGAACAUGCCGUAAAAGUGAAUUUAUUUUAUGUCUCUAUACAAACAGGUGCCUGUACAUGUAAUGUAUUUCAUGCAAAUGAAGGGUAGAAUGAGAAGCUCACAAUGACAAGGACCUUGCUGUCUAAAGCUCGGAGGCCAGAUGACAGUGUCUGAAGUAAGUCGCCCCAUAGAAGAGCGAGAACUUUCUGUUGCAAUUGUUAACAUGCAACACAUCCUUACCACAUGCAACCCAUCCCACUUUCACAAUAUAUUUUCUUAACAACAGUAACCCAAGUUCAACGUUUGGAUUGGUGAUUUUAAACAUAAAAACAAUGGUCUGAAUGUUUAAUUAGAUCUUUUACGCAAACGUAGUAUAUUAGUAAUGAAAGGCAUGUUUGGUAAUACAGUAAUUUCAUUUCAGACCAUGAAGACCAUGUAUUAUUAUAAUUAUCUGGGAUCUGUCGUUGGGCUGAUAAGCAUGGAAAAUAAGGAAUGUACUCCUGUCGAACGAACAAUAUGUUUUUAUAAAACGAAUAACUCUUUGAAGAUUACUUACUAGAAGAAGUAGAACAAGAAGAAAAAGAAGAAGAAAUACACUGAUGAUGUCAGCUUGACUUCCUAAAGUUGUAUACUAUUUGAAAAUAGUUUAUAUUUUAUUCAUGAACAGCCGGCUUGUCGGAAUUGCGUACAAGGAUGCCAUUGGACUUUUCUGUACUAGUAGCUGAAGGGGGGAGCAGUCACCAGAAGGAGCAUGCAACUCCAAAACAAUGUGGAUACUUCUACCGAGUUCAUCUCAAGAAUCAAGAUGUGACAGUGGAUGUACAUGUAGAGGGGUUUGUGACCCUCCUGACUGUGGACUACAUGCAAUACACAUCAAUGGAUUGUAGAGGAGUAAUGGUGGGUCCGGUGAGCUCAACUCUGGAGGUUAAGUUCGCAAAAUUAAUAAAUUUCCUUUUAAUAUGGGUGUAUAUGGUUCCAGGGAUUAAUUUGACGCAAUGCCUCGUAGUGACACGCCCUAUUAAGGGGCAACACACGUGUCAGAAGGUAUAAAAUGGGAAGCAGUUCCUGAAUUGGCACGAGCUUUUACUUUUCGGAUGACUUCCUCAUUUUGUUUCAUACCUCAUUUCCUUUGCCGCCAUGAGGUGCUAAAGUUUUAGCAGAGUUGGGGGCUUCCAGCCCAUAGAUGUGACUUUUCAUGAUUAUAUGUAAUAAAUUGUAAUAAAGUUACUAUCCACUUCAACA
This is a long non-coding RNA of Strongylocentrotus purpuratus (purple sea urchin), 2029 nucleotides long. RefSeq lists it as uncharacterized. The transcript has 4 exons. The record is from RefSeq and is a predicted model, not a curated record. Lineage: Eukaryota; Metazoa; Echinodermata; Echinoidea; Camarodonta; Strongylocentrotidae.